AAGGAGGAUCAAAGCGUUAUACGGAUUUAUUGGGUUUAAAGGGUGCGUAGGCGGCCUAUUAAGUGAGGGGUGAAAGACGGUAAUUAAACUAUAGCAGAGAACCUGAUACUGAAGGGCUUUAAUGAAAUAGAGGCAGUCGGAAUGUUACAAAGAGCGGUUAAAUGCAUACAUAUGUCACAGAACCUCUAUUUCGAAGACAGCUUACUAUAGGUUUAUCCACUUUAGGGCACGUAAGCGUGUGGAUCAAACAG
RNAcentral lists this ribosomal RNA (251 nucleotides) under uncultured prokaryote. RNAcentral's name for it is "partial 16S rRNA". It matches the Rfam family "Bacterial small subunit ribosomal RNA", at positions 525 to 775 of the family's 1533-position model. The record is from RNAcentral.